UCUGCUCAAAUUUGUUUUUAAAUUGCUGUGGUAUUUUGACUAUACAAAGGUAUUGAAAUAAGAUUUUAAUUGAAUGCUAAGAGAAUGGAAUUUCAGAAAAAAACUUUUUUCAAGUUAAAAAUUGAAAUUUUUUUAAUUUGUGCAGAAACAAUUAUUAAUAUUAAGGACAAGAAGACCCUAUGAAUUUAUAAAUUUUAUUUAAUAUGUAACUACUAUUAAAAAAAUUUUAGCUGGGGCGGCGGAAAAAUAUUUAAAACUUUUUUAAAAUAAAAUGACCCAUUAUUAAUGAUUAUAUGUUAAAUACUCUAGGGAAAACAGCGUAAA
RNAcentral lists this ribosomal RNA (324 nucleotides) under Rhipicephalus sanguineus (brown dog tick). RNAcentral's name for it is "partial 16S ribosomal RNA". The record is from RNAcentral. Lineage: Eukaryota; Metazoa; Arthropoda; Arachnida; Ixodida; Ixodidae.